GAUGAUUCAGUCACUACUGGAGGAGCACAGCCACGCCAUGAUGUUGUAACACUACCCAACUAAACAUUUAUUACCUCCACUCAAUCAGUACCCAGCAACGGGACCUUUUUUUCCCAGGAAGAGGAGGGGGAACUCAGGUGUGCAGGUCAUGCAUAGAGACUGACAGCUGAGCAGGUGAUGUGGGAACUCUUCUUGGUGUGAACAGGACAAGACGCACUCCACUUCACACAACAUUAGAUAUUCACAACUGAAGUGGAUGGAGAGGGAACGAUAUGGAGAAAGAGAUGUUCUGUGUGUGUCUAAUUGUUGCUUGGACAUGUGAUUAACACGGGAGCACUGUAUCAGAGGUUACACCGAGGUCAACUCACCUGUCUGUCACAAGUUCAGGCCAACGGCGCUCUCUUGAUCCACCCAGCAGAGAUCUCAUGACUGUCUGUCAGCCCAGUAUUUCUUCCUUCCUCCUUCUUCCUUUGACUGGUUCAAGAUCAUGGUUGUCUUGCUGACUGUUUCACCUGCCUGACUGACUCCUCUGGCUCUGGUUGGCUCCUCCGCCUGACUCUUGUCAUGGUUUUUCAAUCCUCACUGCCCUUCUGACUCACCUGGUGACAUCUGACCCCUCUGCCUGGCUGUCAUGACCUUCGGCGUGUUGUAAUCAUCAGAUUGUGUUGCUGAGCUAUAUUUUCCCUCUGUGGCACGCAGUGACUUCUUCUUUUCUUUUCCUUUUUUUAACCUUUUUACCUGCCAUGCGUUUCUUCAGCAUUUCUAAAUGUGACGUGGUGUCCCUUUACUAGCAUGUUCCACACAAUCCAGAUUAAGUGGUUUUAGGGUUUCUUUUGUCAUUUCUUGUUGGUAAAACGAAGAGCUUUGAUCUGACUGAUGACAGGCUUGAGCCUUGCCUGCAGCAUCAAGAGGUUUCUGUGGCUGCGCAAGCAGGGCCUUCCAGUUCUCUGGCUAGUUUUAGCCUUAAGGCUGUGGCUGCAAUGGAUUUUAUCUUCAUCUUACCUCAUUUUAAUCAAAAGUAGUCAAAAAAAAAGAAAUAAACUAUGCAGUAGAAACAUAGAGUGAAUGCAUUCC
Molecule: long non-coding RNA, 1074 nt
Organism: Oreochromis aureus
Lineage: Eukaryota; Metazoa; Chordata; Actinopteri; Cichliformes; Cichlidae
Source: Ensembl